Molecule: ribosomal RNA, 482 nt
Filed under: uncultured bacterium
Lineage: Bacteria
Description: partial 16S ribosomal RNA
Rfam family: Bacterial small subunit ribosomal RNA
Source: RNAcentral
AUUGAACGCUGGCGGCACGCCUUACACAUGCAAGUCGAACGGUAACGGGCCUUCGGGUGCCGACGAGUGGCGAACGGGUGAGUAAUACAUCGGAACGUGCCCGAUCGUGGGGGAUAACGAGGCGAAAGCUUUGCUAAUACCGCAUACGAUCUACGGAUGAAAGCAGGGGACCGCAAGGCCUUGCGCGGACGGAGCGGCCGAUGGCAGAUUAGGUAGUUGGUGGGAUAAAAGCUUACCAAGCCGACGAUCUGUAGCUGGUCUGAGAGGAUGAUCAGCCACACUGGGACUGAGACACGGCCCAGACUCCUACGGGAGGCAGCAGUGGGGAAUUUUGGACAAUGGGCGCAAGCCUGAUCCAGCCAUGCCGCGUGCAGGAUGAAGGCCUUCGGGUUGUAAACUGCUUUUGUACGGAACGAAAAGCCUUCUUUUAAUACAGGAGGGUCAUGACGGUACCGUAAGAAUAAGCACCGGCUAACUACGUG